RNAcentral lists this ribosomal RNA (609 nucleotides) under Triticum aestivum (bread wheat). RNAcentral's name for it is "partial small subunit ribosomal RNA". The record is from RNAcentral. Lineage: Eukaryota; Viridiplantae; Streptophyta; Magnoliopsida; Poales; Poaceae.
AUGUACAAGCUCAACACAUGGUGUUCUCUUCUUGAUUCCUGCUGGAAAGCAAGCCAUGCGUCAGCGUACGGCAACGAUUCGGGUGCCUGCGGCAUGAUGGCGCCGCAGAAGCAUGCAGCGUUCUUCGACGGCAAACAAGGAUGCAUUUGUUUUCCACUCAGUUUCUUUUUGUUCCCUAUGCUUUUUCUCAGAGAGAUUUCUCUAACAUUUUGGGCCCUCGGAUUUGGAUUUGCUGCAGCCUCCACAAUGAGUGCCACCUUCAUCAAUGGCGUCCUUGGCCCCCAGAAAAAACCGGCUAGCUACCUAAGCCAUAAAGUUGUUGCGUUGAAAAUUACAGCAUGCGUGUUUGAGAGAAAGGGAUGGGCUAUAACAAGAGAAACCUCCAUUGCUGAAAAUCUUUUAAAGAGAUCGAGGAUAAAUUUUUUUCCAAAUGAGAAGGAUGACAUAGCGAAUGAGGAUUCCGACAUGGUAGCUCCCACAAUCGCGCAGUUGGAGAGCAUGCACGAGUUCGAUCUUUUGCAUAUCAGACUCUCCUUGCUGACAUCUGAUGAAGUUGUGGUCCAGGAGAAGAAUGAAUAUUUUAUAGCUCUAGCUUCCCCCUUCAGAUAG